RNAcentral lists this ribosomal RNA (704 nucleotides) under Montenegrina prokletiana kovacsorum. Its description in RNAcentral is "partial 12S ribosomal RNA". Lineage: Eukaryota; Metazoa; Mollusca; Gastropoda; Stylommatophora; Clausiliidae. The record is from RNAcentral.
ACACUAAGAGAUAGUUGUUCUAAUUAUAGUUAUAUAUUUAAAUUAUACUAUCAAGUCCACCUUUUAAUAUUUUUACAAAAUAUAUUCCGGAAAAAUUUAAUAAUGUAACUCACCUCAAUUUCUCACUUAUUGGCUGCACUUUGAUUUGUAAAAUUAUAUAUUAUAUAAUUUAAGCUUACCUAAAGGUAAAGUUCAAUACAACGGUAUACAAGCUUUAAUAAAGUAAGUAGCUUUUACUUGGUGGUUAUCAAUUAUAUGGUAAGUUCCCCUAAUAUAUUUUCUUAGCCGCCAUAUUCUUAAGGUUUGAACUUUAUUAAUAUUAGUUGUAAUCCCUGCAUUAUGUUAUAUAGUUUCUUUAUAGUUGGGUAUCUAAUCCGAGUUUAAAAUUUAGAAUUUUUUGGUAACUUAAUUAAUUAAGGAGGUAUAUAUAUUAUGUAUUUCACCACAAUAAUAUAAAAUAAUUAAAUUAAAAGCUUAUAACAAACAACAAUACGAUUAUAGGUAAAUUAACCUAAUAGGUUUGACCGCGGUUGCUGGCACCUAAUAAACCUAGGUUAAUUAAUUAUCUAAAUUUAAUUUUCAUUAAUAUAAAUUUUAAAAUUAUUAACUGGGUAAAUUAUUUACUUCCCAUAUUAAACUAUACUAUAUAUUUACUCAGGCACCGGAAUAAAAUGCCUUUACAAGGGUGUUUUUUCCAUUUUAGG